CCCUUAGACGCUCUCGGCGGCACGCGCGCUACAAUGGGUGGUAGAACGUGUAACUGCUCCCGAAAGGGAGGGUGAACCACGAAUACUUACCCGUGAAUGGGAUAGUUUGUUGCAAUUUUCGGACUUGAACUAGGAAUCCCUUGUAAGAAUGCUCAAGAAUAGCGUGCUGAAUACGUCCCUGCCGUUUGUACACACCGCCCGUCGUUUCUUCCGACUGAUACUCAUUGUGAGUUGCAAGGAUUCUUAUUGAAAAAUUGCUGCGAAUGCUUUGUAUUGGAGGAAGAAAAAGUCGUAACA
This 297-nucleotide ribosomal RNA is filed under the name uncultured eukaryote. RNAcentral's name for it is "partial 18S ribosomal RNA". It matches the Rfam family "Eukaryotic small subunit ribosomal RNA", at positions 1470 to 1796 of the family's 1831-position model. The record is from RNAcentral.